UUUUGGCACGGCACCUCUUCCACUCUGCCACCAUAAACUGACAGAGCUAAGCAUCCCUCUCCUUCAAACAGCAAAAAAUGCAGGAAAGAGGACAAGCUUCCACCAAAAUGUUUGAGCCCAGACUAGAGCAAAAUGAGACCCAAAUAUGAAAGAACCCAUGAUAUGUGCAGUUGGAGGCUGAUUUCACACUUUGAAAAUAGAAAGCUUUUCUUAUAACAACUUUUCUCAGUGGAAGU
This 236-nucleotide long non-coding RNA is filed under the name Dromaius novaehollandiae (emu). RNAcentral's name for it is "lncRNA (ENSDNVG00000002719.1)". Lineage: Eukaryota; Metazoa; Chordata; Aves; Casuariiformes; Dromaiidae. The record is from RNAcentral.